CUUUUCGGCCACCGUAGCGAAGAAGAGGGGCUAAGUCUUGAGCUUCCGGCAAGUCUCCGGCAACCUGAAUACCAUCCCUGGCAGUGGGUUGAACACCGGAAUAGAGGCCGAAGUUCCGUGCUGCUUCGGCGCCACGACCUGGUGUGACUGCUGAGUUCUGGGGACUACUCAGGGCCCCGAAGUCCGUGGCGGUGAAUCGACGGAGCCCUCCUUAUUGCAGUCCAGGGUUCCCAAGACCCAAGCCUUGGUGAUCCAGGGGCGAGCGCCCUUCCUAGGACAUUGCUUUGUACACGCCACCGCCAGUCUAUCGGGGAGCAUUUCCACAGAGCCCAUGAGAAUGCAGCGAAACUUUUGCUUAAGAAAAUAACCACGCCGACCCCAGGGAUUCUCUCACUCAGAGGUAAGAGCAUUAAAAAAGAAAGGAGGUACAGAGGGUGUGUAACAAUGGAAGAUUGCAUGGAAAGUUCUCCUUUGCUGUUAGUACAUCUUAGGAAAACAUUCAGCUGGAACAUAACCAGGCUCAUAGGACUCAGCUUACUUCCCUUUUCUCUGAAGAUGCCAGAAGCUACUUUCUUUCCAGAGACUUUUCUUCCUCCAAGACAGACUGUGAGAUGGGAUUCUUCUCACCUACUCUCUCGAGUAUGUCGCUGAAAUGAAGUCCAUAGUGCUUCUUAUUUUAAGCAUUUGCAUUUGCCUUUGUGGAGAGUAGAUGGGGGAAUGACAGAGGACAGAAGUAGCAAAUAGGGAGACACGUGAUCAAUUUUACAGUGUUCUAAUAUUCUCCUUCCUUCACCUGUGUUUUCUGGGUCCUUUCCUGCUCUGUGAUCUGCUUCUUUUAUCUCAGCACAGAGCUCAAGGAGCACCACUUCUCCAGUUCCUCACCAUUCAGGGGCCCUCUGGCUGUAGGAUGGUCAUUCACAUCCCAGGGGCUCCAGCCUAGGUGCUUCACAUUUAAACAUCUGUGUUCCAGGUGGAAAUCUCUACUACUUUUGAGCAACUUAUUUAAUCCCCAUAAUUAUUCUUCACGGUACCUCAUCAUUUUGGAAACAGAUUUAGGGAGGUUAAGUGGUUUGGUCACAGUUAUAGAGUUAGUAAAAUCAGGGCUAGGAGUGGACCACAGGUCUAUUUGUCUCCAAAAUGUAAGUUUCUUCCACUCUUCCAAACUGCAUUACCUCAACACUGGGUGAUUUCCUGGCAAUCAUGGACUAUCACAUGAAAGCACAUGAAGGCAUUCCUGUUGUUAUGUUCAUCUUCGUGUUUGUAUCUUUUAUCAUCUUUAAUUUAAUAUUUAGGAGUAUUGUCUCCAUAUUCUUUAUACAGCUAACUGAAGACAGAAACAUUGUUUUAUGUGUCACUGUAUUAGCCAAUGCACCUUUACUAAGGGUUUAAUGCAUAGCAUGUGUCUACCAUAUAUUUAUUGGUUAGUUGUUCC
This is a long non-coding RNA of Mesoplodon densirostris (Blainville's beaked whale), 1432 nucleotides long. RefSeq lists it as uncharacterized. The transcript is spliced from 3 exons. The record is from RefSeq and is a predicted model, not a curated record. NCBI's taxonomy places the organism in Eukaryota, Metazoa, Chordata, Mammalia, Artiodactyla, Ziphiidae.